GAUCAGAUUGCAUCGGCAUCUCUACUCUGCAGCCGCUGCCUCUGCCGCCUCUUUCAUCCGCUGUCCGUGCGACGGCAAGAGAGUGUUGACAGCGGCUGCGAAGUAGAGAUGCCGACUUGAUCUGAGC
This 127-nucleotide microRNA precursor is filed under the name Oryza sativa (Asian cultivated rice). RNAcentral describes it as "miR5804 stem-loop (osa-MIR5804)". The record is from miRBase by way of RNAcentral. Lineage: Eukaryota; Viridiplantae; Streptophyta; Magnoliopsida; Poales; Poaceae.